CAUAACAAGGUCAAACAGAGAGUUUAAAAACUAGAAAUAAGUGAACCCACUUGGAUCUCAAGGGGAUGACCGUGAACACCCAUCUUUCUGUCAAUCAUGCAGGAUCCAUCAGUGACUAACAGAGAUGGAAACAUAUCAAAUCCAUCAGCUAAACACAAGUUGAGGAUCAUUUUAAUCCCUGCUUGAAAAUCCUCUCUCUCUUGCAAUGUAUAGUCGCCACUGAUCUUCCCAUAUGCCCUCAACAAUAUAAUCCACCACAGUCCUAUCAGCAGCAUCACCUCAAUCAACUUAAAAGCCACUUUUAGUUAACGGAAAAUAAAGUAGCAAAUAAACUAACCGGAGUCCACUGGUGCAACACGGCCAAUAGCUGAUCCACCAAAAUCUGGAUCUAUCACUUCCUCAAACUUAUUGUCACCAAGAGGUACAGUUCUAACCUUGAAACUUACCGGCAUCAAGCCCUGUCCGGGACUAUAGCAGUCGACAGUUUUCUCCGUACUCUACAUUGAACAUCAAGUUUCAAAUGGAUAAUUAUGCAAGCUUGAUCAGCAAAAAAUAGUAAACCACAUAUCCAUGUGUGUGGAUGUGUCUCAAGCCUCUAGCAUGUGCAAAAGAGGCAUUUACAUAACUAACAAAUUCUCAAAGUUCUACAGUGAUCAAAAGGAAUCUGAAAGGCACAAUGUACCAACUUUAUGUGUGGUAAUAUAGCCAGGGUAACUCUCUGCUUUGUUUGGACCUAAUCCCCUCUCUAGGCAAUCUUAAAGGUGCACUCUCACGUAUGGACUUGGUGCAUUCAGGAUUUUACUCUUGAAGUGUUUCCCCCAAAAAUUGAACCUGGAUUAACCUUAAAUAAACAUAAAAAGAAUACCAAACUAUCAUCAGUUUUUAAUAUGUGAUUGAUGGGUUGAUAUCCUUUCAUAUCUGUACAGUCUGUCUAUGAAUUACAAAUGACAUACUUGUGUGACAUAUAAAUGGUGAUUAAACAUAUAUUCAAUGGAAUUGACCAGAACAAAAAUAAAAAGGAAAUGCACAACUAAUGCUGCUAGAACAUUAUUAUCCAAGAUGACAAAUAAGCCUAGGUACCUGCAACUGCAAAGUAUGGAGGAGAAAAUUCUUGACAAUCUCUCCUUCACCUCUAAGCAAGAAAGCCAAAGCCGAAGGCACGAAAUCGCGAAUGAAAACUUGGUCAUAGUUCAAAGGAUGCUUAUCACCUGGAUCAUUUGAAGCCACGGUACCAAUGGGGAAUCCACAAUACGUCACUACUGCAUCUCUCAACAAACUCCAUGCCUCCUUGUCAAUUUCGCUCUCAUGUGAUGCUCUACUGUUUCCAUAUUCAGCGCCAGGAACUUCUCCUCCAACAAUGUUCUCGUCGUUGCAGUUUUCCACACAAAGUCUCUCGGGAUUCUUGUCGGUUUCAACCGGACUAGCUUCUACAGGGACACCAUAAGGCCUUGAAACCGUACUGUGUAGGCCAAAACUUGAACUUGGUAAGCAAUUCAACUUCUGUGAAUUGUAGAUAACGCCUUGAAAGGCUAAGAAUGGAGAAGGGUACGCGUGGAAUUGAGAGUUUUGAUUGAAACUGAAAGAAGCUUUGCUCUUGCAAGUAAGCUUUUGAUCACAAGGGGUAUUAUACGAAUGUCUGAACUCCACAACUGAUGCGUUCCUGAGGGUUAGGACCCUUGAAGGAAGCUUCAUUGUGGAAUUGCAGAGGGAGCUGAGGUUGUUCAUAUCGACAGCUGAAACUUUAACAAAGAUAUGGAGAUACAGAAGAGUGAAGCAUGAAUAUUUUUUAUGUAUUGUUCUUGUGUUUUGAGAGUUGAAUAAGAAAUGGGUUGAUAGUUUGUGGAGGAAAAAGAGUUUUGAGAGAGAGAGAUUUAUGCGGUUCCUUGAGGAGGGGAAAAGAGAAGGCUGGGAACAUGAAUCAUGUAAUGUAAUGCAUGAAUAUGUUAGAAGGAAAGAGAUUUAUAUAUAUAGUAUCAUUGUAAUGCUAAUAGUAGGCUAAUUUUCUUUCUUCUUUCUCCUUCAUAACAAAAAUGUCUUUUUGGAUAAUUUCUAACAAAAGUUUACUAUUUUUUUGCGGUGAGUGAAAAAAGAUUUGAUUUUAUUUAGAUUUCUAAUAAUGUAAGAUUACAAAAGUUGUAGGAAUAGAUACAAUCCAAUUAACUGGAGAAUGAUAAUUCACAAACUUUUUAGCCAUUCACUGUGUAGCUUAGUUCCCUUUUCUGAAAACGUUAUUAAACUUCACCUUAUGAUACUUUGCAUUGAGUGCAUACAUCAACUCCAAAUUGUGAGAUCUAAUGAUAGUCGAUUCCCAGUAUUUUUUUUAUGAUAAUUAAUAUAUUUCUAAUCUUAAAUUAGUUUUAAUGAUACUCAAAUCUAUAUUUUUGUUCAAAUUUACCCACUUUUCGAGCGAACCUUCAGGCCAAGCCAAAUUUCUCGACCCAUGAUGAGGUCUAUAUCAAACCCUAAACCCUAAUAAGUAACUUUUCUCUCAAGACUUUAGAACUUUUCUUUGAAAGCCGCGAAUAGAACACAUAGCAAAGAAGGUGAAUUGACAUUCGAAAAACAUAUAUACAAUUGGGUGAAAACCAAAUCUUUGUUGGUGUUUUUAUCGUGUAAUUGAUGUCUAUCAAUUGUGAAAUAUCAUAAAAAUUGUUAAUUUCCCUUGUUUAAUGUGGUUGCAGUAAGUUGAAUAAACAUGAAUUCUGUUAGCUGUUAUAUCUUGUGCCUCCUUUGUCAAACUGUAUAUAUGCAAAUUAAGUAUGUGUUUGAGAACUAUAUCCUUUAAGUGUCUUAUGCUGCCUUGUGUAUUGAAGAAUCAAUUAAUCUUUAUGUAGAAACAUUGAUGGACCGGAUAAGUGAACUGCCUGAAAAAUUGUGUGUGUAUAUUUUAUCUUGGCUAUCUGUUGGGGUUAUCAACAACAAAAGACAAAGAACAAAGAAAAAAAUGAGAAACUGAAAAAACAAGAAGAAGCUGGAAAUGUUUUUCAUCAUCCAUUUCAAAAGGAAUUGUUACCUUUAAGUUACAAACUUUACCAAAUACAUAACAACUCCCACUAACAGCAUGGAAACUUAUAAAACAUUUCUUGUACACUUAAACAUUCUGACUUAUCAGCCAAAUCAGUACCUAAACACAAACAUAUCAGCUAACAAGCCUUUAUACAUCAUUAAAACAAGUUACAACUGAACUAGACUAGUUUAUCAUGCAAUUCUAUCAUACUUGCAUGCAACCAUACUUCAGCUGCAUGGUUGUGCAUCAAAAAAAUUCUUGUCGCUGCAUGGCUAGCCACCAUUCAACACUUCUCCUUGGCAUUUAUGCAGUAGACACCAAUAUUUCUCCUCAAUAUUGAACACGUGACAUGUAGUCAAUCUCAUCAUCUGGUUGCAGGACAAAGCCGAUGAAAUUCUAAAGUGGGUUACUAAUGGAGUAUUAGCAGGCUUGACACUUUGCAUAUUGAACAUACAAAGAUCUUUCUCAAUGUACCCUUUCUGACUUACAUACAAUUUACAUGCUUUUCUAUCUCUGAGAAUCUCCAUCCCGGGUAUUUUUUUUGCUGCUCCAAAUCUUUCAUCUUAAAUUCUUUACUAGGCUGGGUUUUGACAUUUCUUAUCUCUUAUUUAUCUUUGGUUGCUAUCAACAUGUCAUCAAUAUAAAGGGGUAGAUAUACAGAUGAACCAUAACAAUUUUUCUUAAAAUAAACACAACUAUCAAAACUACUUCUUUGAAAUCAUGAGUAGUCAUAAAUGAAUCAAACAUCUUGUACCACUACUUAGGUGACUGUUUUAGGCCAUAAAGGGUCUUUUUUCAGUAAGCAAACAAAGUCCUCUUUUCUAAGACUAAAAAGUCCUCUAGUUGUUGCAUGUAAAUAUCUUCCUCAAGUUCUCCAUGCAAGAAUAUUGUUUUCACAUCUAACUACUCAAGUUCCAAAUCAUACAUGGCCACAAUACCAAGCCAGACUUGAAUCGAACUAUGUUUAACAACUGGAGAAAAUACAUAUGUGAAGUAUACACCUGAAACCUGACUGUAACCUUCUUCUUGCAUAGCAAUCAUCCACUUUCUUGAAUCUUCACAGCUAAUUGCCUUGGAAUAAGUAGAUGGUUCUUGAUUUGCAUCUAUAUCUUCAGCCACAUUUAAAGCAUAAGCAACUAGAUCAACCUCGACGAACCUCUUUGAAGGUUUAAUUUCUCUUCUAGGUUUGUUCUUAGCAAUAGAAUAUUAUGUUGCUGACUGUUUUAAAGAAAAACUCUACUAUGAGUUUCUGUGCUAACCUAAUUAGUAGACUCUAUUGCCGAUCUUGGAUCAAUUUGAAGCUCCACGUACUUCACAUAUGUGUUUGAUUUCUACUAGUCUUUAUCAGAAGAGUUUUUAAGAGGUAAAUUAGGUAGCAUAGCAGUUUCAUCAAAAAUAACAUCUUUACUAAUCACAACUUUUCUAUUUUCAAGACACCAUAACUUAUACCCUUUAACACCAACCUUAUAUCCAAGAAAAACACACUUAAUAUAAAUCUAGAUUCCAAAUUACCAUUAUCAACAUGAGCAUACGCAGGACACCUAAAAAUCUUUAAAUCAAAAUAAUCAACAGGAGUACCAAACCAUACCUCUUGUGAAGUCUUUUUCUCGAUGACAAUGGAGGGAGACCAGUUAAUCAAAAAAAUGCAGUAGAGGCGCUUCAGCCCAAAACGACUUUGGUAAACAAGCAUUCGACAACAUACAUCGAACCUUUUACAUGAUUAUUCUAUUCAUUCAUUCUGCAACACCGUUUUGCUGUGGAGUAUGGCUAACUGUCAAGUGUUUUACAAUCCCUUUUGAUUCCCACAAUUCAUUACACUCAUCAUAACAGAAUUCCAAACCAUUAUCUAUCCGGAGGUGUUUUAUCUACCUUCCUGUUUACUUCUCGAUCAUAAUCUACCAAUUCUUAAAUGUGGGCAACACAUCACUUUUCUACUUUAGGAAGAAUGCCCAAACUUUUUUGAAAAAAUCUUCAAUAAUCGUCAACAUAAAAUUAAUGUCACCCCUCCAAGGCACUCUAAAUGGUCCCCAGAGACCAGAAUGAAUAUAAUCUAGCAUGUUCUUCGUGUUCUAGAUUCCUCUGGUGAAUCGAACUUGGAAAUUCUACAAAACAUAUAACUUGGCAGUCUUUCUUUGCCCUUUCAUCACCACGAGGGAACCCUUGCUAAUCUUUAGGACCCCACUUUCAGCUGUGUACUUAUACCCUUUUGAAUCAAGAGUACUCAAUGAAAUCGGAUUUCUUUUCAAUUCUGGCACAUGUCGUACAUCACUAAAUGUUCUUAUGGCUCCAUCGAACAUUUUAAUUUUGAUCAUGCCAAUACCUACAAUUUUACGUGAAACAUUAUUUCUCAUCAAAAUAACACAUUCAGACACUGUUUCAUGUGUUGUAAACCAAUAUUGAUUGAGACUCAUAUAGGAUGUGCAAUCAGAAUCGAGGAUCCACUCAUCGCUCACUUUAGAGUUGAUAGCAGAAGCAACUAGGAGUACACCAUCGAUGUAGUCUUCUAAUACAUUAGCUUCAUCGGAUUGUUUUGGUUAUUUUCCCUUUUGAUUCACAACCUCUCUUUUGAUCUAAUUUUGUAACUUAUAGCACUCAGACUUAAUGUGUCAUUUCUUCUUACAGAAGUUACAUGUUUUACCUUUUUUUGAAUAUCUCGAUCUACCCUUAGAUUUAUUGCCAGGAUUUCGUUUUUGUGUCUUCACACAAUUAUCACUAGUAUUUUAUUUUUUUCUCUUACGAACAAUAAGACCCUCUCCCUGAAAGUUAGAUCCAGCCACAAGAUGUUUCAUCUUGUCAUACGAGGCUAAGGAAUCAUAGACUUUAUUAACUGUGAGAGAUUCACGAUUAUACAAAAUCGUAUCUUUGAAGGUUGAAUAAGACAAAAGCAACGAACAAAGUAGAUUUAACCCUAGAUCUUCUUUAUCAAACUGAACCUCCAUGGCUUCUAAGGCUGACAUAAUUUCAUUAAACACAGUUAAGUGUUCAACCAAAAAUGUACAUUCUUCCAAAAGAUGAGAAUAAAUAUGCUGCUUUAAAUGGAAUUUGCUAGUCAAGGUUUUCGACAUGCAUAGCUGCUUCAGCUUUGCCCAUAAUGUAGCAGCAGUCUUAUCAUUCAACACAUCUUGUAGAAUAUCAUUCGACAGAUGCAGAUGUAAUUACGUUAGAACCUUUCAAUCCUUAUGAUGUUUAUCUUCAUUAGUCAAUGUCGAAUGCAUCUUAUCUACCCCUAGCAGGGCAUCUUUAAAUCUACCUGCGCAAGAACUGCUUGCAUCAUUACCUGUUACAAUGCGAAUCUGGUGUAGUGAUCUAACAGCGAAAUAUCAUACUUCAAUGACACCAUUACUAUGACCAAGACAAGAAACCCAAAAAACUCUUAUAUUAGUUUGUUAUAAUAAACGUUAAUAAAGACGGUAGAAUAAUCACAAAAUAAUAAGAAAAGAAAAAAAGAACACUGAUUUUACGUGGAAACCCUUUCGGGGGGAAAAACCACGAGUAGAGGAGAAGAAAUUCACUAAUGUUAAAAAAUAAUGAUACAAGAGGAGUUUAAACUACAUCUAUUUAAGGGUUGAAAACCUUGUUAUAAUCAAAUUCAAAUAGUAGGAGUAUAGUUUUAUACAGACUCAACUUGUGCAGUAUGGUCUACACAUCUAUACGAACUUGAGCCUAUGGCCCUGACUUCUCGCCCCCACAGAUCCCUUAUUUUUCCAGUGUAUUUAUUUCUUCAACAAGAGAUGAGAUUCAGGUCACACAAACUUUAACAGUAUCCAAUAUUGAAAAUCUUGGUCUUAAUGAAAAACAAACAAUUCCUCUUGAUAUUGGCAAUGGUGAAGAACAAACAAUUCCUUUUUUUUUUUGAUAUUUAUGAUACUAGAAUUUGGGUUAAUCUUGAUAACAAAAUAAUGAAAAUUUUAGUUGAAAAGGGGUCUAUAAGAGAAAUGAAUCUAGAUUUUCCUCUCAAUAAUAAUAGGCAUUUUUCAUAUGCUUAUUUUUCUAGGAAGUUAAGCAUUGGUGAGAUUAAUGAUAGAAAAUGGUUGGUUUAUUGCAAACAUGUUGACAAAGUGUUUUGUUUUUGUUGUAAGUUGUUUAAAUUUAUUAGUAACAAAAGUUUGUUAGCAAAUGAGGGUUUAAGUGAUUAGAGACAUAUUAGAGAGAAACUCAAACAACAUAAAAACAGUGUUGAAUAUAUGACUAAUAUGAAUACUUGUAAUGAAAUGAGAAUAAGGUCGGAUAAAAUUGAAACAAUUGAUAAAAGCUUGCAAGAACAAAUUAUGAAAGAGAAAGAGUGAUGGAGGCAAGUUUUACUUAGAGUAUUUUUAGCUGUGAAAUGUCUUACUACUCAUACUUUGGCUUUUCGAGGAUCCAAUGAAAAACUCUAUCAAGAUAGCAAUGGUAAUUUCCUAGGAUUGAUUGAAAUGAUUGCGAAAUUCGAUGUGAUAAUGCAAGAUCAUGUUAAACGCAUUCAAAACCGUGAAAUUCAUUAUCAUUAUCUUGGGCAUAAAAUUCAAAAUGAGUUGAUUUCCCUUUUAGCCAUUAGUGUUAAAGGCUAUAUAAUUAAGACCAUCAAAGAAGAGAAAUGUUUUUCUAUAAUUCUUGAUGGUACCCCUAAUAUUGGUCAUCAAGAACAAAUGACUGUAAUUGUACAAUGUGUGUAUAUGUCAAAUAAUAAAAUAAAAAUUGAGGAGUAUCUUUUAGAGUUUUUGAAGGUGGAUGAUACAUCUGGAUUGAGACUUUUUAAUGAAUUACAAGAUGUUUUGAAGUCUCUUGAUCUUAAUGUUGAUGAUCUAAGGGGUCAGGGUUAUGAUAACGGUUCCAAUAUGAAAGGGAAGCACCAAGGUGUUCAAAAGCGAUUUCUUGAAAUAAACCCGAGAGCAUUAUAUAUGCCUUGAACUUGUCAUAGUCUGAAUCUUACUCUUAGUGAUAUGUCACAUUCUUGCUUUAGAGCUAUUUCAUUUUUUUGGAAUUUUUCAACGCAUAUAUUCUUUAUUUUUGAGUUCUACAAAAAGAUGAAAAAUUUUGUAACGCCCUUAACUCGAAUUCGUCGCCGGAACAGGGUUACGGAACAUUAUCAGAGUUUACAAAAUUAAUUAUCAGACAUUUCAUUUCAUCUACCAUUCAUAUUAGAAACCAAUCAAAGUUAUACAUAUUGUCCCUUAAACGAGCUCCCGAGGCCCAAAUUAUGCAUUAGAAAUAAAUAAGGACUAAGUCGAAAACUUAGAAAAUUUUUCGAAAAUAUUUAAAAUUUUCAACAUUGCAGGGUCACACGGCCAUGUGGUCAGGCCAUGUGACUCACACGGCCAUGUGGUCAGGCCAUGUGACUCACACGGUUUGGAGACACACCCGUAUCUCAAGCCGUAUGGGCAUCCAAAAUAGGGACACACGGCUGUGUCUUAGCCCGUGUCCGUGCCCAUGUGAGUUUACUAACUUGGGUUAUACGGCCAAGUCAUACACCCGUGUACUAGGCCGUGUGAGCAUUCUAUUUUGUGCAAAUUUAAGAUACAGGGGACAAAUAGCCGUGUCACCUGGCCGUGUGUCACACAUGGUUGAGACACACGCCCGUGUCUUUGCCCGUGUGGACGAAAAUAAGUCAUUUUACAAGCCAUAUUUCUCAUCCAAUUUGUUACUAACCUAGCCCCACCAAAUCACAAAUCUACAAACUAUAAAAUGGUAUUCAACACAAGCUAAAAUUAGUGGCUAAUCUAAAAAAUUUACAUAUAGACCAACAUUAAACAAAAUACCUAUACAUGCCAUUAUGACUAAAAUUAAAACAUUCAAAAAUACCGAUAGCACCGAUGGAUAGUGUGAUCUAUCUCUGACAAGCUUCCAACCUAAUCGAGCUUCCGAUAAUCUGAAAAGUAAAGGAAAACAAUUAUGUAAGCAAUGAAUGCUUAGUACGCUCGUAUAAACUUUAAUCAUAUCAAUUCAUUUUAAAUAAGAAAUUUAUACAUAUCCAGGAUAAUCCAAUAUUGAUACCCCAAUAUUCAUCAAGUAUAUUCAACAACUUUAACUAUUCCAAAUUUCUAAAUUUUCAUUUGCAUUUCUUUACUUUCCUCACUCAUUCCAUAUGCAUAACUCACCAGUCAUAAAUAUACCAUACCACCAUAACCACAAGCUAAUGCAUUUGAACAUAGCCCUUUUUAAAAUUAAUCACAUGAUAAACCAUUUCAUAAGAAAUUGCAUAACUUAAAACUUACUACUCUUUCAUGAGCACAAGUGUAUUUUCAGUUGAGCACUUCCCCUUUCAACACAUCAUAAAAAUAAACAUAUUACCAUUUAACCAGUAACUUGGCACUUGUAUAAUCAUCAACAACAACAUUUGUUAGCAUACUUGAACAUAUUUCAUAUAAAUUCAACAUUGAUAAACUUAUUUUAUCAAUAUAUCACACUUGAGUUUAUUACUCAUUACAAUUUCAAUCGAUGAAUACACUUAUUUCAGAUCAACACCAAUAAUAACCUUAAGUCUUCAAACAUUAAUUUCAUAUGUCACUUAUCAGAUCUUACCAAAUCGGGGAAUGACUUAUGGAUAUGAGUACAUCGUAUUCAGAAGUCCUAAGGCUGCAGAGAAGCACAUAAGUGCUAAACAGAAACCCAUAAGGGCUGAACGGAAGCUCGUAAGAGCUGAACGGAAACCCAUAAGGGUUAAAUUGAAGCUUAAAAGGCUAAACGGAAACCCAUAAGGAUUAAACUGAAGCUCAAAAGAGCUGAACAAAAACCCAUAAAGGUUAAACUGAAACUCAUAUGAGUUAAUAGAAGCUCGUGAGAGCUAAACGGAAAGUAAAUAUGAAAAUUCGCAACAAAUGUUGAACCUCGGUUUACUUGGGUAAUUUGCCGUCAAUUCAUCCUUUGCAUUUUCUGUCAAUUCAUCCUUUUCCAUAGAACGAUUGUACUCAAUCCCGCGUUCCCCUUUAACCGGAUAUUCUUUUCAAUUCAUAAUUUAACAAUAUUUCAUUUUUUUAACAAUAUGCUAAAUACAUAAUAAUUUAACAACAUUCCAUUUUUCAAAAAUAUAUUAAAUACGUAACAUCAUUUUCCAAUUCAAUAUAAUUAUUAAAAUUUAACCAUACGAACUUACCUGAAUUGAAUUGUAAUAAUUGCAGGAGUUUAGGGACUAUUCCACUAUUUUUCCUUUUUCACAAGUAUCUACGAAAUCUUGAUCUAAAAUAUAAAAUUACUUAUUCAUUAGCAUAUAUUUCAGUUUCAAUUUAUUUUACAAUUUAUACCCUUCAAUUUUUUGAAUUUACACAAUUACCCCAACUUUUACAACUUUUACAAUUUAGUCCCUUAACUAGUUAAUCUAUCAAAUCAACUAAUUUUUCUCAAUUAAUAAUUUAUGAAAAUAUUCUAGGAUAUCAUACAACCCUUAAUUAAAACAUAAAUUUAAUACCAAACCCUAAUAUUUUAACUAUUUUCAUAAUUUGAUACUAACAUUAUUAUUUAACAAAAUCACUUUAUAAUAUCAUCAUACAACAAAAUUAAAGUUCUAAACCCACUUGAUAUUAAUAAUUUAUUUCAAUAUAUAUUAAUUUAGACAGUAAAAGAAUCCAUUUCAUACAAUUUGGUCAUUUUUGACAUUUUUACAAAAUUGCCCCUAAAAUUUUACUUUUAUUCGAUUUAGUCCCUAAACCUAAAACAUGCAAAUUAGCCAUAUUUAAUGUAAACUCAUGCUAGCUAAAUAUUCAUUUAUUUUCCUCCUCCUCCUUUCCAUUCCACAUACUUAAUGUAUAUAACAUGCUUAUAUUUAAUAUUAUCUAUAAUUCCACUAUUUACUUAUGUUCAUAUCAAAGCUGUCCACUUGAGUCAUAAUCACUAAAUUAUUUAUAUCUUGAGCUACAGAAUUCUAAAUUAAGAUCCUCUUGAUGUUUUUGGAACUAUACUCAAAUAUCUUUUUACCAUAAAAAUUUCAGAAUUUAAUAUUUAGCUAAUAAGUAUAGUAAAAUCUUCAAAUUUAUCCCUAUUCUGCAAUUUGACAGCUUCGACCUUUCUUUACUAAAAAUUAAUUAUCUCUUAGUACGGGGUUUGGAUGAUGUUUCUAUUUGUUUCUCUUGAAAAUAGUUAUGACCUUUAGUGAAGAUUGUUAGAGCAAAAUUUCUGAACGGGAUUAUUACGAAAAUUAUGAGUUUUAGGUCUUUAAUUCGAGUUUAAAUCAUAUUGGGUUCGGAUUUUAGGCUUAAUUUUUAUUAUAUUUGAGUCCAAUAUUGUAUUUAUCGGCUCUUAUUAUUUUAUUUUUAAUCUAAUUUUUUAUAAUUAUUAAGUAUUUUAAGUUAUUUAGGAGUUUUAUGUUAAGAAAAUUUAGUUUAAAUAUUUAGGUUAAUUAAAGUUCUAGUAUACUUAAUAGUUUUAUUUAGAUUUAUUUAGUUAGCCUAUAUAAAGACCUUUGCAUUGUACACAAUUAAAUCGAAAUUCAUUAUUUCAACAACUUUUCUUUUGAAUUAAUAAAUUCUCUUUGAAUUUUUCUUUUAAAGAAUUUUUCUUAAGUUUUCUUUUGAGUUUUAGCAAUCUUUUCAAAUUGUGCGGAUAAUUUUCAAUUUUUUUCCUAAGUUUUAUUUUUCGGAAGGGAAAUUAGAGUCGCUUAAAGAGAGUUGUGGAUUCUUCUUAUUUUCAAGGCUCCUUAGGACUUCUACACAUCACGUUCCAUCUUUUUCAUCUAUCUUCUUUAUUUUCUUUUUUAUUGUCUUUUCUAUUAUUCUAGUAUUUGAUUUAUUGUUCUAUUUUAUUUAUUUAUUUUAUUUAUUUUAAUUCUUUUCUUUAAUUUUUUUUGUUAUUUGAUUUAGAUUCGCUUACGUUUCAAGUUGUGUCAAAAUUCAAAUUUUUUUCGAACGUUUAGAGCAGCAAGUCAAAUUUGCGACUUGCGACUUGAAAACAAAAAGAAUCUACAACCCCCUUCAAGUGGAUCUAAUUUCCCCUCCAAAAAAAAACUUAGUAGGAAAAAAUUUGAAGAUCACCCCACAAUCUGAAAAGAUUGUUAAAACUCUUCUAAAAGAAAAUUCAAAAAAAUUCUUUAAAAGAAAAACUUAAAGAGAAUUUAUUAACUCAAAAGAGAAGUUGAAUAAUGAUGAAUUUUUAUUUAAUUGUGUACAAUGUAAAGGCUUUUAUAUAGGCUAGCUAAAUAAAUCUAAAUAAAACUAUUAAGUAUACUAAAACUUUAAUUAUCCUAAACAAAAAGUAGUUUUAAACUAAAUUUUCUUAUUGACAUGAAACUCGUAAAUAACUUAAAAUACGUAAUAAUUAUAAAAAAAAUUUAAAAUAAAAUAAUAAAAUAAUAAGAGCUGAUAAAUACAAUAUUAGGCUCAUAUAUAAUAAAAAUUAAGCCUAAAACCCGAACUCAAUAUGAUUUGAACUCGAAUUAAAAACUCCAAACUUGUAAUUUCUAUAAUAAUCUCAUCCAGAAAUUCUACUUGCGCAGUCUUUACUAAAACAGUCAUAACUUAAGCUCCCGAACUCAAAAUCUAGGGAUUCAAAGUGCAUUUUGAAGGUAAGAGAUAGAUAUUCAACCGCUAUUCAGACAUCUAAGCCCAUAAAUUCUUGGAUCUCAUUCAAAAAUUCGUCACAAGUUGACUAAUCUUUUCAGUUUGAAGAUCAGUAGUUUAGUUGAAUUGACUUUAAUAAAUUUCACACAUGUACCAUUCCCCCUUUCUUCGAAAAGAUUCAUCCUCACAUAUUAUUUUUGAUCGAAUCUUGGUUUGAAUUACUUAGCCUUUGACCUUGUUAUUGAGCCUUGAGGUAGUGUAUGUCCAUCACAUCCAUAGGUCUGAAAAUCAGGCCUUGAGGAUUGCAUCACACUCUCUCUACCGUUUUCAAAUCCAUGAUUAGUUCGUUUCAAAAACCACUAAAAAUCCAUGAAAACAAAACUAAACUCUUGAAUUACUCAAACUCUAAUAUCCUUUUUCAAUCGUCAGAUCAUCUUCGAUUUUCGAUAUGUGUUUCCUCUUGCUGAGGUCUCUCCUUUCACUGUUCGAAUUCUCUCAUUAUUUUAGGUUUAAUUUUAGGCUCACAUAUAAUAAAAAUUAAUCACAUGUUUUUCAAGAAAAAUCCCUUGAAUUGUUUCAAGAUUUUUCCUAAAUUAUUUAAACUACAAAUCUUAAAAUCAUUUAAUCACGCGUCUUUGUUUUUGACUAUUUGAUUAUUUUCACCAUUUGGGCUUUGGGCAUCAUCAUUUUUUAUUGUUUAGUGUAUCAACUAUUUGAUUAAUAUUACUGCUACCAAAGCAAAGAUUUCAACUUAGAGGUGAAUAAGAGGGGAACAAACAGGUGCCUUGAGCACUCUAAAAUAGAAAAUUACAGUUCUAGUUAUUUUUAAAGGAUUAAAUUAUAAAUUAGUAUAAAGUAAAGCCUCUAAAAAAUACUAUUUAAUAUCUCUUUUUUUAUGUAAAAAAAACAAAAAAACCAAUCAAACCAGACACAAGGACAACAUAUAACAGUCCUUAUGUUCCUGAUGAUAAAACAUCUGUCCAUUUCAAAAAUGGAAGGACAGAUCAAAUACAUACUACAAACAAGAAAAAAAUUGAACACAAUUACAUUCAUUCCUACACUGCUUUAGCUUAGGUGGAUUGUAUUGUAUUACUAUGUAUCGUCACCAAAUUAAGCAGCGGAAGGGGCGUUAAUACGGUGAACAAAGCCGCCGGCCUUUGACAAAGCUGCCAAAAGCAGUUGUAGGCCGCUUUGCUUAUCCUCAUCAGCUUCUACUGCUUGGCUAGAAGCUACGACAUUGUUGUAGUCAAGUGACUCAUCAUCGUAAAUCUCCCACCAUUUAGCCACCAGCGUCUUAAUGUCUUCCCUGUCCAUGUUGUCUUCUUUGCCGGUAUACCUCCAGAAUUUGGAGCCAGCAGCACAGUAGUGAACCACCUUGGCCUUGUCUAGCUCAAUGUUCUCAGGUGGCGUCAUAGCAUGGCCAUCACCAGGUUGUAAAUAGGAGGGAUGGGCCUGUAAAUGUCCCUAAAGUACAUGUUCAGAUAAUCCUACUCCGCAAAUGGGGCAGGAGGGGUGACUUUGAGGGUAGUCAAGAGGUCCACAUAUGUAGAAAGGCUAGGUUCAUAUACAAACAUUCCAGCGUUGAAGUAAAGAGGAGGUUUAGGACCAAGCUGCGAAGGCCAUUGGACCUUAUCAGGGCACUGCUACCUUUCCCAGGGUUUAAUGUGGAAACUGUGGAAUAUAAGAACAUUAGCUUCACCGUUUAGGAUGUUGGAGGUCAGGACAAGGUAAUAUUACGGGAACCCGAAAAAUGUUGCAGAACAAACCAUAAUUAGUCAUCAUUUUACCAUUAUAUUGUUUCCCUGGGUCUUAUUGCUUGAUGGAACAUGAUAUUUUACCCUGGGUAAACUGUACAAUACAUUGAUGUUUCAACUAAUGGAUAAGCUUAGGGACGAUUUUAUGCUCAUGGCAUCAGCAUAUAAGAUAAUCAUAAUCUACAUCUACUAAUGCCACCUCGUCUUUCUAGUUUAUCCUUUGGUGGUAUGAGGAGAGGUUAUCCAUGUCGUGGCUAUUGCAUUAUUCGGCAUCUUACCUUUAUUGUAUGCAACACAUUCCAAUUUUACUUCUCAAUGAUUCAAAUCGAGCAGCCCCUAAGGGCUUGGUCAGUAUGUCAGCCAAUUGUGCUCUUGAGCUACAAUGCACAAGGCUGACUUCCCUUGUUUGCUCAGCUUCUCGAACAAAAUGCAACUUAAUUUUAAAGUGUUUAGUUUUACCAUGGAACACAGGGUUCUUAGCUAUGGCAACUGCUGACUGGUUGUCCACCCAAAGUUCAGUUGCAUCAGCUUGUGUUUCAUUAAGAUCCUGAAGUAACUUCCUAAGCCAAAUGGCCUGAUUGACUGCUGCUGCUGCAGCAAUGUACUCUGCUUCAGCUGUGGACUGAGCAACAGUUUGUUGUUUCUUUGAACUCCAGCAAAACAUGUCUGAUCCAAGUGUGAAGAAGUAUCCAGAGGUACUCUUCAUGUCAACGAGGGAUCCUGCCCAGUCACUGUCUGAGUAACCUUCUAGUUUCAGUUCCUUCCCACUUUCAAACAUCACACCAAAGCUAGCAGUGCCUUUGAUAUAUCUAAGGACCCUCUUUGUAGCCUUCAAAUAUGCCUUAUUACAACAGUUCAUGAACCUAGAUAGCAGACUAACACUAAACAUGAUGUCUGGCCUGGUUGCAGUCAAAUAUAACAGGCAACCUACUAGGCUUCGAUAGUGCCUCUCAUCAACUCUCUACUGAUCUCCACUGCUUGUCAACUUUUCUCCUUGAGCCACUGGUGUGCUGACUGCUUUACAGUUAAGCAUGCAAAAUUUGCCUAGAAUCUUUAAAGCAAAUGUUUGUUGGCUGAUGAAGAUGCCUCGAUCAAACUGGUGAACUUCUAUGCCAAGGAAGUAUGUCAUGACCCCCAAAUCAGUCAUCUCAAACACUUGCUGCAUUUGAAGCUUGAAUUCAUCAAUGAGUUCAACUUUUUCCCUGUCACCAACAAGUCAUCCACAUACAAGGAGACAAUCAGCAAGGUUUCAACUUCUGACCUCUUAACAUACAGGGUAGGCUCACUAAGACUCUUCACAAAUCCAAGCUUGAUCAGGUAAGCAUCAACUCUGUCAUACCAGGCCCUUGGUGCCUAUUUCAGGCCAUAAAGGGCCUUUCUCAGCCUGUACACUUUAUCUUCAUGUCCAGCAACUUCAAAACCUUCUGGUUGCUCAAUGAAGAUCUCCUCCUUAAGAAAGCCAUUUAGGAAUGCUGACUUUACAUCCAAUUGGUGAACCCUCCACUGCUUCUGAGCUGCUAAAGCAAACAAAAGCUUGAUUGUCUCCAGUCUUGCUACUGGAGCAAAUGUCUCCAGGAAGUCCACCCCAUAUUGCUGACUGUAGCCCUUCACCACAAGCCUUGCCUUGUGCUUGUUCAAUGAGCCAUCAGCAUUGUACUUGGCCCUGUACACCCAUUUAACUCCUAUGACCUUCUUGUGUUCUGGUCUGCUCACCAAUUCCCAUGUUUGAUUUUUGUUGAUCAUUUCCAGCUCAGCCUCCAUAGCUUUCAUCCAGUUCCUGUCCUUGGCAGCCUCUUCAAAAUCUGAAGGCUCAAUCUCAGCAACAUUACACCUCUGAUAGACAUCAGCCAAAGUUCUGGUGCCCCUCACUAGUGUAUCAUCAACAGCAUCAUCACUCGAUCCUUCUUCUGUAGGUUUAGCAACCAAGUCUAACUGGUCCAUUUCAGACAUGUCAGCUUCAGCACCAUUCCAAUUCCACACCUUUUCUUCAUCAAAUUUUACAUCCCUGCUGACUAAAACCUUCUUUGCUGUAGGAUCAUACACUCUAUAACCCUUCUUAUUGCUGCUAUAGCUAACAAAGAUUCCUGGAGUUGCCCUGCUCUCGAGCUUGGUUCUCUUUUCCACUGGAACAAGAGCAUAACACACACAACCAAACACUUUCAGGUGUGUUACCACUGGUUUGGCUUCAUGUCAAGCUUCAAAAGGAGUCUUAUCCUUGACUACUCGAGUUGGCAGCCUGUUGAGCAGGUAUACUGAGGUGUUAACUGCCUCAACCCAAAACUGACUUGGAAGCUUGCCAUGAAACAAUAGGCACCUGUCCAUGUUCAGCACAGUCCUAUUUUUCCUCUUACAGACACCAUUCUGUUGAGAAGUAUAGAUUGUAGUAAGCUGAUGGUGAAUCCCAGCACUAUCAUAAAGCUUCUGAAAUCUCUCAGACACAUAUUCAGAGCCAUUAUCAGUCCUCAAGGCUCUAUCAUAUGCCUGACUGAUUUUCAGCAUAUGCCUUAAAUUUGCAGAAGGCCUCAAACACUUCUGACUUUUGCUUCAAGAAGUAGACCCAACACAACCUUGUUAAAUCAUCUAUAAACAGGACAAAGUACCUGUUCUCAUUGAUUGAAGGUGUUCUCAUACGGGCACAGACAUCAGAGUGCACCAAUUCGAGCUUAUUUUGAGCUCUCCAAGCACUUUCAGCAGGAAAAGGCAGUCCAGCCUGCUUACUAAGCUGACAAACCUCACAAACAUUCCCACUAGCCUCAAUUUUUAAAAUGUCAUCAACCAAAUUCAGUUUAUGCAACAGAUCAAUAGAUCUGAAAUUGGCAUGACCUAGUCUUCUAUGCCACAAGUCAGUGCUAUCAACAAGGCUGGUGUAUGCCUUUCUUUCCACUUGGCUAACAUCCAGCAUAAAGCACCUAUCAGUCAUAGAGACUGUGACUAACUCUUGACCAUGCAUAUCUUGAACACUACAGCAGCCAUCUUUAAAAACCAAUGUAUAGCCAUUUUCAACUAAUUGGCCUACACUAAGCAGGUUCUGGUCUAAGUCAGGUACAAAAAGCACAUCUGAGAUCAGCUUGUUACCUGAACCAGUGCUAACCAACACAUUACCCUUGCCCUUAGCCUCAAUCAGCUUGCCAUCCCCAAUUCUGAUCCUCGAGUGGAAGCUUCUGUCUAGGCCCUUGAACAGCUUCUCAUCUGCUGCCAUAUGGUGUGAACAACCAUUGUCUAGCAGCCAAUCAUUGUUGGCCUUUGUUGUGCCAACAAAGCAGGUUGCAAUAAAUACAUGCUCCUCCUGAGCUUGCAAAUCCUCAGCAGGUCGAGCUUGUUGCUGAGUGGUUUCCUUUGGCUUGCCCUUGCAUACCUUCUCCACAUGACCAAACUGCUUGCACUUUCUACAUUGUAUGUCUGGCCUAAACCAGCAGUAUUUUUCUGAGUGUGUUGUCUUCUUGCAGUGAACACAUGGUGGGAAAACCCUUUUUGCUUCAUCUCUUCCUGACUUGGCCCUUCUAUUGUGCCAAGGCUUUUUGCCUUUUGUACUCACACUCGAGCCUUCACUGGCUUUAACCUGGAAAGCAGCCUCAGGAUUCUCCUCCUGCCUAUUUGCCCUCAUUUGCUCAAGUGCAUACAGAAAGUUUAUCAGCUCAGACAAUGAAAUGGCUGAUAAGUCCCUCGAGUCCUCAAGUGAAGAGAUUUUUUACUCAAAUUUCUCAGGGAGAGUUGUGAUGACCUUUUCAACAACUCUGCUCUCUGUGAAAUCCACUCCCAAGAGCCUUAUGCUGUUGACAAUGGCCAUUAUCCUGUCUGAGUACUGCUUGAUGGUCUCAGACUCUUUCAUCCUCAAAUUCUCAAAGUCUCUCCUGAGAUUGAUCACCUGCUGUUGCCUUGUCUUAUCAGUCCCCAUGAACUCCUCCUUCAGCUUCUCCCAGGCCUGCUUUGGUGAGUCGCAGGCCAUGAUGCGAGUGAAUAUCACAUCAGAGACUCCAUUUUGCAAGCAGGUCAUAGCCUUAUGCUUCUUGGCUCUCUCCUCAGCAUGCUGCCUCAUCUGUGCAAUGGUGGGAUUGGCCCUCAAUGGAGGUGGUUCAGCUUCAUUAUCGAUUACACUCCAGAGAUCGUGUGCCUGGAGGUAAGUCUUCAUUUUGACUAUCCAAAUGUGAUAGUUUUCUCCAGUGGUGGAGGUGGUGGAGUGAAACUCAUUUUGCUAGACUGAGUUCAAAGGCCUCGAUCACUUCUAAAUUUUAGCUUUGCUUUUGGUUUGAAAAAUAACAGAAUGCAUAGGCCCCUCAAAGAUUCAGGCUCAUGAUACCAUUUGUUGGAACAUUGGCAGCAUCGAGCAAACAAAUUUACCAAGCAGAAGCAAGAUUGAUCGAAGCAAAAAAAAGAAAAAAGAAAAAUUGGCAGAGCAGCAAAUGAAACUUGAAUGUACAGCAGGAAAAUUGUAACUGAACAUCACGAUUUUCAUUCAAAUUUUGAAAAUAUAAAAGAGUUACAUUUUUUGCUUAAUUUGACAGUUACCUAAUGACACAACUGCUCUCACUUAACUAAAACUAAUACAAACUUAAACAAUCUACAAAGAUAAGCUGACAUACUAGCUUUUACAUCAAAAAUCAAGUCACAAACUUAAUCCUACUAACUUUGAGAGUUAGUUACAAUUGGACUAAGCUAAAUAACAUUACAACAAAAUAGCUAAAAACUGAUUGCUUUAUUCGGUCCAAAAAUCAACCUUGCAUGCCAAGCAAAAACAGUUGAGCUCGAUAGCUGCUGUUGAUCUCGACAGUGGUUGGCGCCAUGUUGCAUUGCAGUCCAGCUCUCAACACUUGCAUUUGCCUGUUUCUUAAAAUUUAGGAGUGAAAUAUCUCGAGUCUGAUAGCAUGUCUUGUUCUAAUGGCUUUAUGGGAACUUUCAGAUUCGACCUUUGUGGAGGCACUACUUCCAAAAUACUCGGGGGCUAAUCUUUGUUGUGGAUAGCAAUGAUCGUGAUCGUGUUGUUGAGGCCAGGGAUGAGCUUCACCGUAUGCUAAAUGAGGUGCCAGUUUGCUUCUUUGAACUUUGUUGGUUUGGUUUCUCUGUUAACUUGAAAUUUUCAAUAAUGAGGUCUACAUGUAGCUGUUAUGCAUGUGUAAUUACUAUUUUCAAUUAUUUUGUUGCUUAUAAUAUGUGUAGGAUGAGCUGAGGGAUGCUGUGCUGCUUGUAUCUGCAAACAAGCAAGAUCUACCAAAUGCUAUGAAUGCUGCUGAGAUCACUGAUAAACUUGGUCUUCAUUCCCUCCGUCAGCGCCACUGGUAUAACCUUUUCCCUGUUUGUUUAUUUCUAGAUUGGUCUGCCAGUUGUCUGUUCUGUUUUAAAAUCUCUCUUGUGAGUCACAGGUAUAUUCAGAGUACAUGCGCUACCUCUGGUGAAGGGUUGUAUGAGGGUCUGGACUGGCUCUCGAACAACAUAGCUAACAGGUAGGUUCAGACUGAUACGUGUGUCUUUUAUUGAUAUUGUUCUGUUCUAAUUCUCGCUGCCAUUCAUUGUAUUUUUCCUAGGCUUGAGGUGGUUGGUAGAAGGUCGGUGACAUUUACAUUUGGGGUAGCAAUCUUUGUGGAAUUCGGAUAUGUAUAUUUCUAUUUUAUGAUACGUUGCGUUAUUGGGGUUUUGUUUUUUUGUUUUUGCUCGACAACUUUUAAAUGAAAUGGAUGAGCUUGUGUUUAGAUAUGCUUUGUAGAUGGAAUUCAUUGUUCAGAGUUAAUUAACGAAUUCAUUGUUGACAUUUCAUAGUAACAUGUUACAUUUUAUGUGUUUUACUUGUUCCAUUAUCAAUACUAUGUUGAUUCUCGUUUGUCCAAGAAAAGUUUUAAGCAAGUUGAGCUGAGGUGGGAAGAGUGAGGCCAUUUCAUUUUAUUUUGCAUAAGGUUUUAACUGUUAAAAAAGUCUCCUUCACUUCUUAGGAUCUCGGCCAUUUCACAUGUUUAUACCUUAGAGACAUUAAAGUAGUUUUGUUUUGGACAAUGUGACUGGUUUG
RNAcentral lists this long non-coding RNA (20220 nucleotides) under Gossypium barbadense (sea-island cotton). Its description in RNAcentral is "long non-coding RNA (GBAR_LNC022459)". Lineage: Eukaryota; Viridiplantae; Streptophyta; Magnoliopsida; Malvales; Malvaceae. The record is from RNAcentral.